Molecule: RNA transcript, 968 nt
Organism: Aedes aegypti (yellow fever mosquito)
Lineage: Eukaryota; Metazoa; Arthropoda; Insecta; Diptera; Culicidae
Gene name: omega-amidase NIT2
Exons: 1
Source: RefSeq, a predicted model, not a curated record
CCAAACAAACUGCAGUUUUCUUUCAUCAGUAGCCAAAAGCACAUCGUCAUGGUUCGCGCGCUUAAAAUUGCUCUGCUACAAUUGGACGGGUUCCCCACCAAGCAAGACGCCAUUUCAAAUGCCGUUAAUCAGAUCCGGAUUGCGGCUAAGGACAAAGGUGCAAAGCUAAUAAUUUUGCCAGAAUGCUGGAAUUCCACAUACUGCAUUAAAGAAUUUCCACGAAUGGCCGAGCAAAUCCCUAAUGGAGAAACAUCGAAAGCUCUGUCUAAAGUAGCUGGUGAGCUGGGGAUCACUUUAGUAGGUGGAACGUAUCCAGAAAUUGACGGCGGUAAGCUGUACAACACCUGUCCUGUUUGGGGCCCAAAGGGCGAGUUUCUUGGAAAAUAUCGCAAAAUGCAUCUCUUCGAUAUGGACAUACCCGGACAGUGUACCUUCAAGGAAUCUAGUGUUCUAACGCCGGGAAAAGAGUUCCUGACUUUCAACGUGGGCAAUGUGAAGAUUGGGAUUGGAAUCUGCUACGAUCAACGCUUUCCGGAAUUUGCAGCAGUCUAUCGACAACGCAAUUGUGACCUGUUGAUUUUCCCCUCGGCUUUCGAUACGUUUACGGGACCGAUGCACUUUGAACUGAUCGCUCAAGCUCGUGCUCUUGAUAACGGGAUGUUCGUUGCACUUUGUGCUCCAGCGAGAGAUACAACGAAGGAUUAUGUUGCCUACGGCUACUCGACGAUUUCGGAUCCCUGGGGAAGGGUUUUGAGUCGGGCCAAGGAGGGGCCAGAGAUGUUGGUAGUGGAUUUGAAUUUGGAAUUGUGUGAUACGAUCAGACGUCAGAUUCCAACGCAAGAUCAAAAGCGUACCGAUGUGUAUGAAGUGGUGUGCAAGAUAUGAUUUUGACGUGAAUAAAAUGUAUUUUAUUGUGUAUGUAUGAAACUUUUUAAACGUGUUUUAAUAAAAGACUAUAAGCACAAAAA